Molecule: unclassified non-coding RNA, 307 nt
Filed under: plant metagenome
Description: partial contains 5.8S ribosomal RNA, internal transcribed spacer 2, and large subunit ribosomal RNA
Rfam family: 5.8S ribosomal RNA (bases 1-105)
Source: RNAcentral
GAAAUGCGAUAAGUAAUGUGAAUUGCAGAAUUCAGUGAAUCAUCGAAUCUUUGAACGCACAUUGCGCCCGCCAGCACUCUGGCGGGCAUGCCUGUUCGAGCGUCAUUUCAACCCUCAGAACCCCUUGCGGGAUCUGGCGUUGGGGAUUGGCAUCCAGCCAGCCCCGAAAUCUAGUGGCGGUCCCUCCGCGACCUCCCCUGUGCAGUAGCGAUACCUCGCAGCGGGACAGCGGUCUGACCACGCCGUAAAACCCCCAACUUCUCAAGGUUGACCUCGAAUCAGGUAGGAAUACCCGCUAAACUUAAGC